This 375-nucleotide ribosomal RNA is filed under the name uncultured bacterium. RNAcentral's name for it is "bacterial SSU rRNA". It matches the Rfam family "Bacterial small subunit ribosomal RNA", at positions 527 to 898 of the family's 1533-position model. The record is from RNAcentral.
GUAGGGCGCGAGCGUUGUCCGGAUUUAUUGGGCGUAAAGAGCUCGUAGGCGGCUUGUUACGUCGACUGUGAAAACCCGCGGCUCAACCGUGUGGUCUGCAGUCGAUACGGGCAGGCUAGAGUUCGGUAGGGGAGACUGGAAUUCCUGGUGUAGCGGUGAAAUGCGCAGAUAUCAGGAGGAACACCGGUGGCGAAGGCGGGUCUCUGGGCCGAUACUGACGCUGAGGAGCGAAAGCGUGGGGAGCGAACAGGAUUAGAUACCCUGGUAGUCCACGCUGUAAACGUUGGGCGCUAGGUGUGGGGGGCCUCUCCGGUUCUCUGUGCCGCAGCUAACGCAUUAAGCGCCCCGCCUGGGGAGUACGGCCGCAAGGCUAAA